This 337-nucleotide ribosomal RNA is filed under the name uncultured bacterium. RNAcentral's name for it is "partial 16S ribosomal RNA". It matches the Rfam family "Bacterial small subunit ribosomal RNA", at positions 378 to 733 of the family's 1533-position model. The record is from RNAcentral.
CGAAGCUGAUGCAGCACGCCGCGUGAGUGAUGAAGGCCUUCGGGUUGUAAAGCUCUUUCCUGGGGGACGAAAAUGGCCGGUCCCCCAGGACAAGCCCCCGCCUAUUUCCUUGCCACAACCCCCGGUAUACCUCCGGGCCCGCCCCUGUUCAAAAUUUAUGGGGCUUAAGGGUGCCUUAGUUGGUUGGCCAAUUCGGGGGGGAAGGCCCUUGGUUAACCCGGGAAAUGCCUCCCAAACUUCAACUCUUGAAUGCCGUAGAAGAGGGUGGAAUUUCGGGUGGAGAGGGGAGAUUGGAAUUUCUUGGGAAGAACACCAUUUGCUAAAGUUGCUCUCUAGC